RNAcentral lists this unclassified non-coding RNA (362 nucleotides) under uncultured bacterium. Its description in RNAcentral is "contains 16S-23S intergenic spacer region". The record is from RNAcentral.
UCGCUAUCCUCAUCGUCCUCACUCUCUUUUUAGUCGCCCACGUCUACAUCACCGCCCUCUGGCACCUCGCCUCCGUCGUCUCCGUCCUCGAGCCCGUCUACGGCCUCGCCGCCAUGAAGAAGUCCUACCACCUCCUCAAGGGCAGGCUCCGGUUCGCCGCUGUCCUCGUCUCCGCCUAUUUGGUCGCCUGCGGGGUUAUCUCCGGUGUUUUCAGCGUGGUUGUGGUGCACGGUGGGGAGGACUAUGGGGUUUUCACCAGAAUCGUGGUGGGAGGGUUCCUUGUGGGGCUUUUGGUGAUUGUGAACUUGGUGGGGUUGUUGGUGCAGAGUGUGUUUUACUAUGUUUGCAAGAGUUAUCAUCAU